This is a long non-coding RNA of Passer domesticus (house sparrow), 6963 nucleotides long. RefSeq lists it as uncharacterized. The record is from RefSeq and is a predicted model, not a curated record. Lineage: Eukaryota; Metazoa; Chordata; Aves; Passeriformes; Passeridae. The transcript has 15 exons.
GACUGUCCCCUUGGGGCAGUCCAGAGCCCCUGUGGGGCCCCUCCUGUGCAAAGGAGACUAUUCCUGCUCACUGGCAGCAGCUUUCAGCCUUUCCAGUCUCUCACACAUCUGCCAUCCUUUGAUACCCAGAGCUCCUCCACUGCUCCAGCAUUCCUCCUGCAGCUCAGAUUUUGAUUCUGAAGCAGUACCUGAAGGAAGUGAUUUGGCCUUUCAGGAGCUCUUUGGGAGCUGCUGGCAUUCAGACCAUACAUUGUGAAUCCUAUGGCUGUUAUGGAAACUUUUGUCAGCAAGAUAAAGUUUAGUGAUAAGGCAGUAAGCACAUUUAUGGCAUGAGCUCUAGGCUCCUUCAUUUGAUGAGCAUCAGGUGAUCUUGAUUUUCUUCCACCUGAACCUCAUCUGCUGAUUUGGAUCACCAGGUAAUCAAGUGCUAAUUUAAUCAGCUGUGUGGCCUGGGCAAUUAUAGUCUGGAAGGUUCUGUUGACCUGGAUGGUUCUCCAGACCUGGAUGUUUUAUUUGUCCUGAAGAGCUCUCUUCUGUGUUUAAAAGGACCAUCCCAUCUCUGCCUAGGUGCAGCCAUUUAUCUAAAAAGUGCCCUGGGAAUCAGCCAUUGCCUGCUGUGGUGGCUACAGCCUCACUGCAUAGACAGUUACCGGAACGUUCAAAUUGCCAUGGUUUCCACAGAAAAUGUGUUCAGACUCCCUGAAAAGGUCAGUGUCCCAGUGCUGUAGAGAAAGCCACCCUGGAUUUUUCCUGUUGACCAAAUUUAUUGCCUUGGCUUGAUUUUGCAAACCAGAGUUGUAUGUCUGCAGCAUCCUUCACAUGACAUUCCAGCGCAGUGAUACACCCAAAUUCCUUACGAAAUGAGCAAGAAGAGGAACUCCUAAGUCAGCCUGCCCUACUGGAGGACAUUGGCCAUCAUUCCUGACAGUUCUCAGCCUGCUUUUUGCAGUCCUGGUGCCAGAAAGAGAAAUGGCAGCUUGCUGAAUAUUUUCAACCCUAUAGCAAUGGCAUUGACUGUCUGGGAGGAGUUUCUUACCAGCAAGGAACAGCUGCCUGAUCCAGCAACCUCUGCUCUCCAGGACAGUUUUGUUAUCACGUGCAUGGUUGAACCUGCCUUACCAGAGAGGCAACAAAACAAUUCUCUUUCAGAGGCAAUGGGCAUUACGUGCAGCUGAAGUGUAGCUCACUGCUCUGGCCAUUCUGGCCUAGGACUCCUGUAAGGUAUUUUAUCCUGCCUGUGUUAGAGCCCCUGACAUUACCAAGAAUAUUCUGGAAGUGGCACAGACAGAAUAGUCCUGAGCUCCAGAUAACAGAUCCAUGGGAAGAGUGUCAAGACAUAAAGGGAUGUGUUCUGUGCUGGAGGUGUGUGCACUAAUCAAUAUCCUUUCACUGCACAUGAUGUUCCUCAGAAGUCUAAAUGCUAAUGGUGCCAUUUGGCAAGAUCUUUCACCUGCUCUUGGCUGACCUGACUUUGCACAGGAUUACCUGAGGAGUAAAUUAAAAUCUUUUUCUGCUACAAAUGGAGCAGAACAAUAACUAGGUGAUUCUCUUUCUGGAAAACAGCAGAAGAGCUAGAAGUCCACGUAAGGAGUCCCUUCUUGAGAGCACACAGUGUGCUCUUUCUCAUGAAUAUAUCAGCAGAGAGUUGUGCCUCUCUUUCUGAACCCGGUGCAAUCCAGGCAGCAGAUGUGCUGCUCUCCCCACGUUGCUCUGCCCAAGCAGUGCUCACCGAGCUGUGCAGAUGGAUUGAUAUUUCCAAGAUACCAGCUCCAGAGGCAUCCAGCCCCUUCCCUGUCAGCUCUGCCAUGACAGAGGAGCAGCCCGUUAUGGUGGUGAUUUGAAUCACUCCAGUAUUCCUUCCCAGGAGCUGGAAUGGGACUCAAGCAGCUCUCAGUGAGCAGCAGCUCCUCCCUGGGCUCGUCUCAAAUCACUGACUGCAGAGUGAAGUGUUCCUGCAGUGGGUGAUCAGGAGUUGAGUCAUUUAAAAACAACAGUUCUGGUAGUAUUAGUCACAAUUUGUAUUAUAAUGGUUUGCAGAUGAAGGUUCAUCACUGUGCAAUGUAUUAUACAGACAGUCUGAGAAAUCACAGUCAUCUUCCACUUUGGAAGAUGGGUUUCUGAGAGGAUCACUCAUUCCCAGGAACCUGGGAUUUCUCAGGAAUCAUGCAAUGUUUCACUCCAUUUAUAAUGUUACCCCCCUCGCCCCUUAAUCCCAGCUGCAAAAAUCUUUAUUAUAGGAAGUAGCAAUUUAGUUUUGCUUUUUUCCAGAAGGACAUGAUGUCUGCUUUCCUUGGUACUGUGGUUCCCUGAUCAGCCAGCCAGUUUGUUACAGGGCUGUGUGAUGAAGGAUUUUUUCCAAGGAAAAUGUAAACACAAACCAGGCCAGAACAUUUUUUUUAAUCUUAAUUUGCCUUACAAAUAGUCAGCUCUCAUCACAGAAUGUGAAGAGUUUCAUCUAAAAAGAAUUUAAUUGAACAGAUUUUUAGGAACAUCUAAUAUAUACCAUGAGAAAGACAAAUUUCAUGAAAUGUUUUGUUUUAUCAGAAACUCAUUUUUCCCUGACAAAUGGAUUUCAGGGGAAAUUUUCCAGAAGGCCCAGCUCAUUGGUCUGUGUGACUGGUGGAAAAAUGAGAAGCCUGAACCAGGAGAAACAGAGACACAAAAAAUGUUGUCAGAGAAGUUAAAGUCUGAUGGCAGCUGGCAAGGAACCUGGCUGGAAUUCCUAGAUCUCUUAUUUCCCAAGCAAAGCUUACACAGGCACUUACUGUUCUACAACAGUCAUGUCUGGUUUAAGCAUUGCUGGAGUCCAGCACAUUUCUACAGUCUGUUUUAACAUCUCACUCAUAAUUUUAACUGGAGGAGCAACACCUAUGAUCUUUGGUUUCUAGGAAGCAUAAACCACAGUCAGGAGUUAAGCUGGGUAAUUCUGUUAAGGCAAUUCAUUUAACCUGUUUAAAAAAACAAACAAAAAAAACCCCAACAAAACCAACUUUCUGUUAAUCCUUUUGACUAAUCUUUGGCUCCUAAGUGAAGAAAGGCAUACCUUGCCAUUUUAGACUGUUUUUACAAGUAUCUGUGUUUUGAGCCCUUUCAUCCUGCAUAUCUGCUUACCACUUAGUUUAUUUUGCAAGAGGACACCUGCUAUUUGUUUUCAUCUUGGGAGACUCCUGCAGCACUGCUGUGCCACUGGGAACUAGACUCCAGUCUAUUUAAUGAAAUGAAUCUAAAAACAACGAGAGCCUCUCUUGAUGUAGCAGGCAUGUGAUCAUAGAUUUGGAGAAUGCUCUUGAUAUCUGUUUGAUCACAUAUGGGUUCUUUACACACGCUUAAAAAGUAAAAGCAGCAGCAGAGCUGCUCAAAGAAGAACCCCAUAAUGGCUCAGACUUAAUGAGAUCUUAUUUUCCUUGUAUAAAGAAAUCAUCCCACCUCCUUUUAUUUCCCCAGGAGCACUUGGGGGGGUGUAACAGAGGUGGUUGUUGCCUGUUGCCAUGAAACACAGCUGUUUGCAAGGCAGAUAACUCUCUGAUGAAGGGAUUUAAUUUUCUUGUAUGUGGAGGGGUGAAGCACACUCCUGCACGUCUCAGAAAGGGCUCUGUGUGUGUAUCUGUGUGUGUGUAGGAGGCUGCCUCAGUCAUGUUAAAUUCCUAUUAGGUAGCACUUCCAGAAAUGAUUGGAAAGUAGAGCUGUUGUUGAUGCAAAAGGUCACAGACAUUAAUAGCCUGCAGAACAAUUCCAGGGUGCAGAAUUAUUCACAGCUGCCAAAACACAAAGAAAAGAAUAAAAAAGAACAAGGGAAAGAAAAGGUUGUCUUACAAGUAUUUUGUGACAGUGCUCCUGAAAGACAUAAGGAGGGACAAGUCCUAGAGUAUCUAUGUACAUGGAAGAGGACCUCUGUUUCCUGAGAGAUCAUCUGUCCCUGCUGCUUAUACCCUGUUUGAUGUCAUGAUCUUGGUUGCUGUGGAAAUGAUUAAGCUGUCAUCAACAGAUUCAGAUGGGAAAUCAGCUCUGGGAGAAGAUGAAACAACAUUCUUUCUUUUAUGCAAAUGUGUGCAGUUAAGAAUGGCAAAGAAACAAACAAGCAAAACAUACAGGCAAACACCCUUUUGCCUCCCAAUUCACUAUUCAGACUGAGCACAUUUUUCCCAGGGGAUGUCAGAUGGUGCCUAAAAAAUGUCACCCACUGCUGUGGAGGUGGCGGAAGGGAGCUAGAGGCCAGUGAAUGUCUUCUUGUCACUUUGGCUUGAAAGGGUAUAAAUUCCAAAAUAGGUGCCAGAACCCCUUUUGUCCUGAGCUUUAAGCAGCUCAUGACAGGUGCAAUAAGUUGCACAGGUAGGAGCAGCACACUUUUUUGUGAGUGGAAACAAAUAUGCAGCAGGCAGAGCACGUGAACUGUGAUUUUUGCCCUUAAAUAUCUUCCCAGGGCUUUGUUAAGCACAGCAAGUCACAGUGGGAAAAGUGAUGCUCCCAGACAUUAGAUGAGGUUAUGUUGACUCAGGAAAAUGAAAUACCUCCCAGAAGUAUCUUUUGAUUUAAUUAAUAUGUGUUCAGAGUAGAUGGCUAUUCUCCAAAGAGGACUGGUGUUAACCACCACCUGAUUGCAUGGGGGAUUGCACAGGGGAUUUUUCAGUGGUUGGUGCAUAUAAAUGGGGAGGGGGUCACGUAGGUUGUGUAUUUGUAGUUGUAAUUAGAAAGACAAAGAGUGUGGGAAGGGAAAGUCAACAGUGAUGCUGAUAAUUAGUUUAAUACUGCUGUGCACAUCUGCUGUGCUCUUUGAAGCAAUGCCCCUGUCUCAGUGGUGGGUGUAAAUACCUUACAGUAAGUCAAACCCAGCUACAAUGACUUUCCAAUCUUGGCAGCACUAAUGUCUCAAACAUGGUCAGGAAAGGGUCAGAAAAUGCUCAAGAGAAACAAACUGGAGUUGUUUUCUCAUUGAAGAACUCUCCUACAAUUUUGGGGCUUUUUUUUCCAGGAUAUCCUGGAUAUAAAGCUCAAAGCCUUCAGCUCCUCUUUACCUGGAGCUACAAUGAUACAAAGCAUAAGGAAAAGUUGAUAUGUGACUAAGAUACUUUUAUUCAGGCAUCGAUAGAACAUUAUAAGGCAUCAGGGUUAUAUAGAUUAAGGCUGAUACCAGGAAAAUCUUUCUUGAACUUUUAAAAUAAUUCCUGAUGCUUCCAGAAAUGUGUUGAGGGAGUUUCCACUCAAGAAAUACGUGCUGUUUCUUUGUUGUUUCUGAUGACAACUUCUCAGAGAGGGCAUGGCCUGAGACAUGUUUUGAAUCAGGGACUUCACUCUCUUUGGAUGAUGCUGUGAAACAGAGAAUUCAUUUUAGCUGUCAUUUUUGUUUCCUGUCUCCUGAUGCUAUUUGGAGGCAUUAUGGGGGUAUUCGGGUCCCAUCUACAUAUUUGAAUAUUUUCUAGAAACACCUCCACAGCAACUUUUUAAAGUGGCAAAAUGUUGUAUUGUAGGGUAAAAACACGCACAUGAACAAAGGGGAGGGGGUGAAACUAAAUAUCACACUAGGUUAUUGUUUGAAUUUCUAAUCCAUAGAACACAGCAUUGUAAUAUUUAAACUUCUUAUUAAAUAGCAAGGCAAAGCAAACUUUCCUUUUCUCUGUUUUUGACAGGGGCUGAAAAUAGAUUUAAUCUUGGAUCUACUAAAAUGUGCAAAGCUCUGCCUUCUUGCUUUAUUCUAUACAGUCUUUUCUCUUGUUUUACAGCUGUGCAAAUCCACUGACUUCAGGGGAAUUCUUAUUUACAGCAAGUGCAAGAGAGGCAGCAAAGUCAUUUGCAGUGAGAAAGCCAAAGAGUACAAGCAGCAGCAGAGAAGAGUUGAUUACACCAAUCCCCCUCAAACUAUGGAGCUAACAAGACAGUUGUGAAGCAAGAGAAGUUACUCUGGGUUGCUAUUUGGACACUUGAGUCUUGAAGGUGCAGGAAGACUCCUUCAAAGUUGAGAGCUGUUAAACCUUUCUCCUCCUGGAAAACUCCAUCUAUUCAUCUGAAGAAGCCCUUUCAAAAGAAGCAGGAUGCACUUCAAAGCAGACUCUCUUAUCUGGAGGAGAGGGGCUUACACAAAGGUUACAUUUCAGACUUAAAUGCAGGACAAGGAACAAUUGCACUAAGACCUUCUCAGUGCAGAUAUUCGGAGCUGUUCCCUCACUUUGUGUUUGGAAUUUCCAUUAAAUUAGAUCGAUACUUGGCUUCUUUCCUGAUGUCCUAUCCCACUCUGCUGAAGAUAUUUUCUGUGAUCCAUAAUGAGCCCUGCUGCUAUUCCAGUAUAAUCACUGCUGAAUAUUAGCCAGGUAACAGACAAAGCAAGGAGCUAAACUGAGAUGAGAGAAAUCUGGGCUUGAAGAGUUUCUCCCAAGUUCUUAUGACUUCAUAUCUUGUAUUGAAGACUGUAGAUCUGUGUGGUGGGGAAGGAGUUACUGGGGUUUCUUAAAAAACCCCAAACCAUGGUAAUUCAGUAGCUGAAUUUAAUUUUCAUUUCAUUUUGAUGCAGAUGCAAAAUGGUACAUGCUGAGAAGUUAGUGGGGAGGGAGGAGGGAGACAUUGUGAAAGAGCAGUAAAUAGCUCUGGGUGAGGUAUUUCAUGCAGGGUAGGGAAGAGACAGCUCUCCCUUAGGGGGCUUGUGCACCUUGUUCCUCUUGAUACCAUGACAUGUGUGAAGUUGGGUUUUUUUUUAUUCCUUCAUGACAUUUCUUUCCAUUGUUUCUUCAUAUUUACACUGAAAAGCAGGUGCUGUAGACUUGCACAACUUUUGUCUUUUUAUGUACACCCUUUUCUUAUUUGGGAAGGAAAUGGUCAGCCAAAGCCAACCAUUGUAUAUAUUUCGUGUAAGUUCCAUUCCCUAAAGUGUAAAUUAGAAGGUUUUAAAGCAAACUUAUCUUGUUUGUUAUAUUUAUAACAAUCAUUUAAUAAGUGGCUUGCUUAGAUGUAUUAAAGAAUUUAUUAGUAAUUAAA